Molecule: ribosomal RNA, 1170 nt
Filed under: Triticum aestivum (bread wheat)
Lineage: Eukaryota; Viridiplantae; Streptophyta; Magnoliopsida; Poales; Poaceae
Description: partial small subunit ribosomal RNA
Source: RNAcentral
AUGCUUCGGGCGAGCGCACGCGGCCUUCUCGUCGGCCGCCGACGAGACCUCAUGGCCUCCCUCCUCGCCUUCUCCUCCUCCGCCUCCGGCCUCCCGCCCAAACCCUCGCCGUCCCACACCGCUCCCCCUCCGCCCCCGGCUUCCGCCUCCGCACGAGCGUCGCGCUUCCGCCUCCUACUCGCCCGCGCCGCCGCGCGCCGCGACCCCGAGCCGCCGCCGCCGCCGCCUCCGCAGGCCGAGAGCGAGAAGAAGUCGAUUGCGGUGAGAACGGGGGAGCUGUUCUUGGGUCUGAGUGCGCUGUUCAUCCGCGCGGGGAGAGGGACGGCGCCGGUGGAGGAGGUGGAGCGGAGCGAGGGGGUGUUGUGGGAGCAGCGCCCGGAGGACGUGGAGGCGGAGCGGCAGCGGAGGGAGGUGGCGACAGCGAGCCCCGGGUUCAGCUUCUCAGCCGCCGGGCUUCUCUUCCCCUACCACCUCGGCGUCGCGCAGUGCCUCCUCGACAAAGGCUACAUCACAGAAAGAACUCCGUUAGCUGGCUCAUCAGCUGGUGCCAUAAUCUGUGCAGUGAUUGCAUCCGGGAACACAAUGCAAGAGGCUCUUCAGGUGACCAAGAUUCUAGCUGAAGACUGCCGGAGUAAAGGGACUGCCUUUCGCCUUGGGGCUGUACUCAAGGAUGUUCUAGAAAAGUUUCUCCCAGAUGAUCUGCAUAUCAGGUGCAACGGAAGGAUCCGUGUUGCUAUUACUCAGUUGUCCUGGAGGCCUAGGGGCUUACUGGUCGACCAGUUUGACUCCAAGGAAGACGUGAUUAAUGCAAUUAUUACAUCUUCGUUUAUUCCUGGAUACUUAGCCCCCAGGCCUGCGACUUUAUUCCGUAACAGGCUGUGCGUUGAUGGGGGGCUUACAUUGUUUAUGCCACCUACUUCUGCUUCUGAAACAGUUCGAAUCUGUGCUUUCCCAGCUGGCAGACUAGGACUGCAAGGGAUUGGUAUUAGUCCAGACUGCAAUCCGGAGAACAGAGCUACUCCACGACAGCUGUUUAACUGGGCUCUGGAACCUGCUGAAGAUGAAGUUCUCGAUAAAUUGUACGAGCUUGGGUACCAGGAUGCAGCUGUGUGGGCUGAGCAGAACCCUCCUGAGUCAACUGUGAAGAUUGAGCAGCUCGUUACAGAUUGA